GACGAACGCUGGCGGCGUGCUUAACACAUGCAAGUCGAACGGAAAGGCCCUGCUUUUGUGGGGUGCUCGAGUGGCGAACGGGUGAGUAACACGUGAGUAACCUUCCCUUGACUUUGGGAUAACUUCAGGAAACUGGGGCUAAUACCGGAUAGGAGCUCCUGCUGCAUGGUGGGGGUUGGAAAGUUUCGGCGGUUGGGGAUGGACUCGCGGCUUAUCAGCUUGUUGGUGGGGUAGUGGCUUACCAAGGCUUUGGCGGGUAGCCGGCCUGGGAGGGUGACCGGGCACAUUAGGACUGCGAUACGGCCCAGACUCCUACGGGAGGCAGCAGUGGGGAAUAUUGCACAAUGGGCGGAAGCCUGAUGAAGAAACGCCGGGUGCGGGAUGAAGGCCUUCGGGUUGUAAACCGCUUUAGCCUGUGACGAAGCGUGAGUGACGGUAAUGGGUAAAGAAGCACCGGCUAACUACGUG
Molecule: ribosomal RNA, 468 nt
Filed under: uncultured bacterium
Lineage: Bacteria
Description: partial 16S ribosomal RNA
Rfam family: Bacterial small subunit ribosomal RNA
Source: RNAcentral